AUAAAAUCGAAUUAACUAAUUUAAUAAAUAUUAAUACUUUUUUGUUUCUUUUUUUUUAAACUAAAUGUGAAUUGGAAAACGUAUACAACUUGUGCAUGACAAACGUGAAUACUCCAAUGUACACAACCACAUACAAGAAAAAAAAACCAAUAAACGCUCUGUUCUCUCUCCUCCGUUCACACAAAAAACCCCAUUUGAAACCUAGAACUCACCAAAGUUCCGGCGCCGCGGCCGGUUCUCCGGCGAGUUCCCUUUCCUUUUUUUUCAAGUAUUAUACUACUCGUGUUCUAGUUUGGUGAAGUUGAAGCGUAACCAAGCUCCAUGAAGAGCUUCGAACUCCGUUUAGUGCUACCCUCUUCUCACCGGAAAGGUUAAUUGUUACCGUCAGUUUUCCGAUAGAUAGACGAGGAAGCCUUGUUCCACCAGGAAUUCUCGCCGCUUAGAAGAAGGAUCUAGGUUCAGAUUUGUGUGUUCAGGGGACGAAAUUGACAAUUUUAGGGGUCUUGGGCAAACUCUAACGCCGCCGUCGGGGGGUUGCCGGAAAAAAGGAAAUCGCGACGGUGUUUGGUGAAGUUAGGGUUUCGUAGAUUUCUUGAGCUCAGUUUCAAAAUUCUCUGUUCUGGUUAUCUUCUUUGGUUUUGGCGAGUUUCGAAAUUGCUCUGAAGUUGGCUCUGUCUAUGAUGGGUUUUGUACUCAUUACAUUCAAAUUUUCAAAUCUGUACGCUACUCCCAUAUUAUUUGGGGUUCAUAGUAUGCUACCAAUCAUGAAUUUCUUUCCUUUAAAAGAGAGAAAUCAAGUUACUUGUUACCGUGAUAUUACCUUCCUUUCGUUUCUUGCUUUGGUUUUGUUUUCCAAGCUCCACAAGUUACAAAGAGUUUCUACCAUGGUUAAUUACCCAAGCUUCACCCUUGGUGGAAAAAGGACACCGGGAAUAACAUGUAAUGUAGGCUUCGGCUCGCUAGAAUCACGACAGUGUUGCCUACAAAGUGGUUCCAACACUCAUGGGAUAACUAAGAAAGCAGUUUCUUUUAAGUUGGUUUGUUAUCUUGUGUUCAUAAGAGAGUUACUUGUUACCGUGAUAUUACCUUCCUUUCGUUUCUUGCUUUGGUUUUGUUUUUCAAGCUCCACAAGUUAAAAAGAGUUUCUACCAUGGUCAAUAAUUACCCAAGCUUCACCCUUGGUGGAAAAAGGACACCGGGAAUAACAUGUAAUGUAGGCUUCGGCUCGCUAGAAUCACGACAGUGCUGCCUACAAAGUGGUUCCAACACUCAUGGGAUAACGAAGAAAGCAGUUUCUUUUAAGUUGGUUUGUUAUCUUAUGUUCAUAAGAACAAGUGUUGCUCGUAGCUUUGUUAUUGUAAAGGUCUUAAUAGGCCUAAUUCUUAUUGUUUUAGCUAACUCUUUCAAUAUACGCAAAUUAAUCCUUUGUCAAAAAAAAAGAGAGAAAAAAAUAAAAUAAAAAAAUACAGG
Chenopodium quinoa (quinoa) is the source of this 1470-nucleotide long non-coding RNA. RefSeq lists it as uncharacterized. The transcript has 2 exons. The record is from RefSeq and is a predicted model, not a curated record. Lineage: Eukaryota; Viridiplantae; Streptophyta; Magnoliopsida; Caryophyllales; Amaranthaceae.